RNAcentral lists this long non-coding RNA (1045 nucleotides) under Capsicum annuum. Its description in RNAcentral is "long non-coding RNA (CANN_LNC006295)". The record is from RNAcentral. Lineage: Eukaryota; Viridiplantae; Streptophyta; Magnoliopsida; Solanales; Solanaceae.
UUGGAAUCUCAAAUCGACCUCAGCCAACAAAAACCCAACUCGGUAUUGAAACUGCCAACCGCACAAAUUUAAAACCAGUACCAAUAGACUCAGAACUUUGAAUCACGAAUUUCAAACUUAAACUCCAUUUUACCCAUACCCGAGGAUUGUUCCGAUGGCUUUCGCCGCCUGAAUGGUACCAACAGUGAUGGGGUGAUCGGGUUUUAUGAUUUUGAUGGAGGUGGAGCUGAUAUUCAUAUCGCCGGAGUCCCAGUGAGCUCCAACAGUGACAGACAGACAGAGUAUGAUUCAUAUCUCAGGCAAAACAGUGGUUCCCGGUGAGAUUUCACCGGAACCAAUACCCCCACCGUCGUUUCUCUAUUCUCUCUCACUUACACUCAGAUUUUUCUUAUUUUCCUCCCAAAUUUAUCACACCCUCUCUCUUUUAGCUGCUCUCUCCCAUCUCUCUCACUCCCUCGAUCCUCCACUGUGUGUGUGCCUAUCGUGUGUAUGCUGUGUGCAUUUUAUUCUCUGGUGAGGUGUGAUGGUGAGUGAUCUUAUGAGUGUCAUGGGAUCUGAUGGAGAGUAUUUUUUAUGAAGAAGAAAGUGAAUUUUUUGAAAGUGAAAAUUGAAAAAUAGAGUCUCCCUGGUUGUGCAUAUGUAUGGAGAAGAAGGGUGAAUGGAAUUCUUGUUUUGUUGUGGGGCCCGUGAGUGUAUGUGAGGUCUCCUUUUUGAAUGUAGUGUGUUGUAUAUAUUUGUUUUCAAUGUGUAAGAAUGGAAGUUGGCCAAUAUUCCCUGUGGGCCCCUGUGUGUCUAUGAAUGCCCAAAUCCAAAAAUAGAAAAAUCCUCCCUGCGUAUUGAUGAGAAUGUGUGUAUUUGUGUGGGACACGCGAGUGGGGUGAGGGUUAAGGGUAGGUGUCCUAAUUUAAUUGAAGAGGUUGUCAAGAUAUGAUUAAAAUAAGAUAAAAUUUAUUAAGGGUUAUUAUUUUUGUCAUUUUAUGGAGGGAUAAUUACAUGGUUGAGGGUACACAAUAGGAUAAGGUAAAAAUAUUAAAAUUAAUCUUUU